UAGCUCUGUUGGUAGAGCGCCUCACUUCGCACGGAGGAGGUCGUGGGUUCGAAUCCCACA
Molecule: transfer RNA, 60 nt
Filed under: Detonula confervacea
Lineage: Eukaryota; Bacillariophyta; Thalassiosirophyceae; Thalassiosirales; Thalassiosiraceae
Rfam family: tRNA
About the family: Transfer RNA (tRNA) molecules are approximately 80 nucleotides in length. Their secondary structure includes four short double-helical elements and three loops (D, anti-codon, and T loops).
Source: RNAcentral